GAUGAACGCUGGCUACAGGCUUAACACAUGCAAGUCGAGGGGAAACGACGGGGAAGCUUGCUUCCCCGGGCGUCGACCGGCGCACGGGUGAGUAACGCGUAUCCAACCUGCCUCUGACUGAGGGAUAACCCGUCGAAAGUCGGCCUAAUACCUCAUGGUAUCGUCUGCGGGCAUCCAACGACGAUUAAAGAUUUCAUCGGUCAGGGAUGGGGUUGCGUCUGAUUAGCUUGUUGGCGGGGUAACGGCCCACCAAGGCUACGAUCAGUAGGGAUUCUGAGAGGAAGGUCCCCCACAUUGGAACUGAGACACGGUCCAAACUCCUACGGGAGGCAGCAGUGAGGAAUAUUGGUCAAUGGGCGAGAGCCUGAACCAGCCAAGUAGCGUGCAGGAAGACGGCCCUAUGGGUUGUAAACUGCUUUUAUGCGGGGAUAAAGUGAGGGACGUGUCCCUCAUUGCAGGUACCGCAUGAAUAAGGACCGGCUAAUUCCGUG
RNAcentral lists this ribosomal RNA (491 nucleotides) under uncultured bacterium. RNAcentral's name for it is "partial 16S ribosomal RNA". It matches the Rfam family "Bacterial small subunit ribosomal RNA", at positions 28 to 507 of the family's 1533-position model. The record is from RNAcentral.